Molecule: non-coding RNA, 47 nt
Filed under: Palpitomonas bilix
Lineage: Eukaryota
Source: RNAcentral
GAAGGAAAAAAAAAAGAGCAAAAAGACAAAAAAAAGUAGGAAAAAUG